RNAcentral lists this ribosomal RNA (512 nucleotides) under uncultured bacterium. RNAcentral describes it as "partial 16S ribosomal RNA". It matches the Rfam family "Bacterial small subunit ribosomal RNA", at positions 28 to 507 of the family's 1533-position model. The record is from RNAcentral.
GAUGAACGCUGGCGGCGUGCCUAAUACAUGCAAGUCGAACGAAACUUCUUUAUCACCGAGUGCUUGCACUCACCGAUAAAGAGUUGAGUGGCGAACGGGUGAGUAACACGUGGGCAACCUGCCCAAAAGAGGGGGAUAACACUUGGAAACAGGUGCUAAUACCGCAUAACCAUAGUUACCGCAUGGUAACUAUGUAAAAGGUGGCUAUACUACCGCUUUUGGAUGGGCCCGCGGCGCAUUAGCUAGUUGGUAGGGUAAAGGCUUACCAAGGCAAUGAUGCGUAGCCGAAUUGAGAGGUUGAUCGGCCACAUUGGGACUGAGCCACGGCCCAAACUCCUACGGGAGGCAGCAGUAGGGAAUCUUCCACAAUGGGCGAAAGCCUGAUGGAGCAACGCCGCGUGGGUGAAGAAGGUCUUCGGAUCGUAAAACCCUGUUGUUAGAGAAGAAAGUGCGUGAAAGUAACUGUUCACGUUUCGACGGUAUCUAACCAGAAAGCCACGGCUAACUACGUG